ACCUGCGGCGUAUCCAGGCCCUCUGCGAUGCCGAGCCGAGCUGCAGCGCUCAAAAGCCGCCCAGGGGGUCAACCCGGCCGGGCGGGCCGUGAGCCGGCGGCGCUAGACACCGCAGCGAAGUUCCCCGCCCCGACCCUCCGGGGGCUCACCGGUGCGGAUCUCCUCCUGGUCCGUGCCGUUCACGUAGUCCUGGCUCACCAACGAGGCAAAGCAGGCCUGCGAGAGGGAAGCGCCAAGGAACCCGGCUCCGGGACCUCCGCCAGUCGCAGGGGAAGCCCGAGCUGCUAGGAAUUGUCCCCGAGCCCUGUUAAAUGGUAAAGAGAAGAAGAGAAAGCAAAGACAUCCUGCUCAGUGGGACCUCCUUCUCCAGCCCGCGCCCUCCCACGCCACCCGCCUUGAGAUUUGCGGUUUCCUUCAGAGGCCAUCCUGUAUGCAGAACUGGGGUAAUGGGACCUUCAGUGAUCUCAACUGCCAUAAAAAUUCUGAAAACCUUUCAAGUGAGUCCAGUAUCACCUCUCAGGAAUCUCCAUGAAGGAAUUUAUACAUUGUGGCCCGCACCUAGAAUACAAAGGAUUCUUUCAAUAGAAAGAAUGAUGAUGUAUCUUACAGUACUGUGUCCACUGUUGCCACACAGCGCUCCUCAACACUGUACUGGGACACAUAACCCAGUGCUGAUUAACAGAAAAGGGCAGUUCCCAUCAACAUUUUGCAUGUUUUUUCCGCAGGAGUGCCCCUCCAAGUUGCUUGGCAAAUACCAGCCUGAGUAGUGGCAUAGCUACAAACACUUACUAUGAUAAAAAAGAUCAUUUAUAUUGGUGUUUGUAGGUACUU
This is a long non-coding RNA of Pogoniulus pusillus (Red-fronted tinkerbird), 831 nucleotides long. RefSeq lists it as uncharacterized. Lineage: Eukaryota; Metazoa; Chordata; Aves; Piciformes; Lybiidae. The transcript has 4 exons. The record is from RefSeq and is a predicted model, not a curated record.